Molecule: long non-coding RNA, 878 nt
Organism: Oryzias melastigma (Indian medaka)
Lineage: Eukaryota; Metazoa; Chordata; Actinopteri; Beloniformes; Adrianichthyidae
Exons: 3
Source: RefSeq, a predicted model, not a curated record
UAUGUUUUGAAGAUUUUCAUUUUAAUCUGAUACAGUUCACAUACUGUAAAAUUUAUUAGUGAAGUUUUGAUUUUAAUAUACAAUGUUACAUGGAUUCUCAAACAGAGAAACUCCAACAAUUCUUCAACCUAUCCUGGAAGGCGUUUCAGUUUGGCCACUAGGUGGCGAUCGCGCUAUAAUAUUACACCCUAAUCCAGAAGAAUAAGAAAGUAUGAGCAAAAAACGAUCUUUUAGACCACAAAUUAGUACUUUAAAAAAAUAUUACUUAAAGAAGAGUUUGGAAAUUUAUGCAUGGCGGAUGCAGCUUAUAGAGCUCCGGGAGAUGACGUCACACAGGAUCGUCCCCCUCAAGGCGCCACCAGCUAAAUGGAUCAGCGCCAUUAAAAGAGCCAGGAGCUAGCAAAACAAGACUGAAAGAUGGACCUUCCAGUGGUCAGAUUCGGCUUGUGCGGCGAUUACUUCAUAUCACGACGGGAGGAUCCAAACGUCACUGCGCAAUGCUCACAGUCUGUCCGGAGGAAGUCGUUGAGGAGCUGGAAAAGAGGGAAGCUGUCCCAGCUCUCAGGGGACUGGAUCUCCAGAGCGGCGUCCAUGUCGAUGGCGUAGAGAGCCAGGAAGUUCUCUGCAUGCUCCACCAUGAGGUCAGUCCACCAGGCGAACGCCUACGAACACAACAGGAGGGACAGCAAACAGAUCCUUUUGUUGGGAAACAAAACCAAACGCUUUGUGAAAGAAGAAAAAACCAGCACUUCCUUUAAAAAUGUCAAAACUUAACUUUGAUUUUUCAACAAUAUGUGUCGUUGAACUUCAAUAACACUUUUAAACACUUCUUUUAAGAAAGCAGUUCGGUAAAAUUAGAUUUCACAAGACCAUAAGGC